AUACGUUUACAUUACUUCACACGGUUUCAGGUUGCUUUUUCUGAUUGAAGAGGACAUCAAGGGUAUACCUUGUUUUCAGAAUGAAACCCUGAUAGCAAUUAAAGCUCUACAUGGAACAACUCUCGAAGUACCUGAUCCUGAUGAAGAUGUUGAUUACCGACAAAGGAGAUACGGGAUAUUCCUUAGAAGCAAAUGGGUCCGAUAUUUGUUUACCUAGUCAGGUGUUUUUUGGAAUAAGUUUAAUUGAUGAUAAGAAGAUAGGUUGUGUUGAAAAUUGGCCAACCAUUCUGCUGUGAUAUUUUUGGUUGAAGUGCAUGCAGCUUGUAAACAUGCUGCAGCACUUAUGCUUGCUGUAAGAGCAAGGUUUUCUCUUUAGUUUCAUUGUAUUCAAACUAGUAAAAAUGAACAAGUUGAUGACAACUUGAUGCAAUAUUAGGUGUUGAAUGACUAGUUUGGGUGGCUUGUUUAUGUGUACAAGCAAUGUUUAUCAAGUUACUAGGCUACUUAGUGGUAGUAGGUAGUAUUUGGUGAUGUAUUUGACUAUAAAUAUAUUGUUUUUCUGGUUGAAUGAGUGAGUUGAAUAAGCUAUCAGCCAUAAGCUCCCUUUGCUGCAUAUUUGUAAGUAAGUAAAAUUUUUCUUGUAUCUAAUUUUAUUGUUCUGUUCUCUCUGUUCUCUUCUUUUGCUGCUGCCAAUGUUCCAACAAAUGGUAUCAUGAGCCCAAGUCUUUGAGGGCUUAUUUUUGCUUUUGCUACUUGUUAAGAAAGACAAGAAGCUAUUAAAGCCUGUCAUCUUUGAAGGUUGCUUGUAGAAAAGACAGCAUCAGCUCAACCCUCUGAGACUCCCAAGUAAGCUUGAAUAAGCUGAAGGAGGAGUUUCAAGGAAAGUAUGUGAGCUUUCCCAUGUGCAAGCUGCAAGCUCAGCAAAGAUGUCAAAGGUGCAAGCUAAGCGAGAAGUGCGAGCUAUGAGCUCAUCAAAAGGUGUGAGCCCUGUAUAGCUGCUAGCCUGUUGAAGACAGUAAGCAAAGUGCGAACCUGUCAAAGUGUGAGCCUGUCGAAUUGCAAGCUGAAGUGGCGGACAGUCUAAAUGCAAACCUGAAUGGGUGCAAACCAAAGUGGCAGACGGUCUAAAUGCAAGCUCGAAUGGGUGCAAGCCAAAAUGGCAGAAUGAAGGCAAGCAAACUAUACUCACGAACUGUUUGUGCAAUAAAAAAUAAGAUUGUAGUGAACAAAGGAACAAGGCAAGAUGUGUUGUCAACUAAGGCUGUGAAGGAGGAGAAUACUCCAUUUGAUGAAUAAAUUUUUGGCACAAAGACUGGGAUAGUCAAGUGUGUAAGUCAGAUUUGGUUGAGAAUGAAGCCAAGGUUGAAAAUGAAUUGCUUGAGUAGAGCCAGCUUGAAACAAAGCAUCUAAGGACUGCCAAGUUCAAAAACUUGAUGAAUGACUGGUAUUUGCAGCAUGGAGUUCAAGGAGGAGUGUUGAAAAUUGGCCAACUGCUAUGAUAUUUUUGGUUGAAGUGCAUCCAGCUUGUAAACAUGCUACAGCACUUAUGCUUGCAGUAACAGCAAGGUUUUCUCUUUAGUUCAUUGUAUUCAAACUAGUUGAAAAUGAACAAGUUGAUGACAACUUGAUGCAUUAGGUGUUGAAUGACUACUUUGGGUGGCUUGUUUAUGUGUACAAGCAAUGUUUAUGAAGUUACUAGGCUACUUAGUGGUAGUAGGUAGUAUUUGGUGAUGUAUUUGACUAUAAUAUAUGAUUUUAUAUUUCUUAUGUUAAUCUAGUAUAAUUUGUAUA
This is a long non-coding RNA of Gossypium raimondii (Peruvian cotton), 1791 nucleotides long. RefSeq lists it as uncharacterized. The transcript has 3 exons. The record is from RefSeq and is a predicted model, not a curated record. Lineage: Eukaryota; Viridiplantae; Streptophyta; Magnoliopsida; Malvales; Malvaceae.